CAGGAUGAACGCUAGCGGCAGGCUUAACACAUGCAAGUCGAGGGGUAAGGUCCCGCUUGCGGGAUACACGACCGGCGCACGGGUGCGUAACGCGUAUGCAACCUGCCUCUGACCGGAGGAUAGCCUCGAGAAAUCGGGAUUAAUACUCCAUAACAUCUAACUACCGCAUGGUAGAGUGAUUAAAACUCCGGUGGUCAGAGAUGGGCAUGCGUGGCAUUAGCUAGUUGGUGAAGUAACGGCUCACCAAGGCAACGAUGCCUAGGGGGUCUGAGAGGACGAUCCCCCACACUGGUACUGAGACACGGACCAGACUCCUACGGGAGGCAGCAGUGAGGAAUAUUGGUCAAUGGGCGCAAGCCUGAACCAGCCAUGCCGCGUGCAGGAUGACGGCUCUAGAAGUUGUAAACUGCUUUUGUAUGGGAAUAAACUGUCCGGUUCUCCGGGCAUUGAAGGUACCAUACGAAUAAGGAUCGGCUAACUCCGUGCCAGCAGCCGCGGUAAUACGGAGGAUCCAAGCGUUAUCCGGAUUUAUUGGGUUUAAAGGGUGUGCAGGCGGAGUAAUAAGUCAGUGGUGAAAUCUUGCGGCUCAACCGUAAAAUUGCCAUUGAUACUGUUAUUCUUGAGUUCAGUUGAGGUGGGCGGAAUGAGUAAUGUAGCGGUGAAAUGCUUAGAUAUUACUCAGAACACCGAUUGCGCAGGCAGCUCGCUAAACUGUAACUGACGCUGAGGCACGAAAGCGUGGGGAGCGAACAGGAUUAGAUACCCUGGUAGUCCACGCCGUAAACUAUGAAUACUGGAUGUGUGCGAUACACUGCACGCGUCUGAGCGACAGCAUUAAGUAUUCCACCUGGGGAGUACGUCCGCAAGGAUGAAACUCA
This 878-nucleotide ribosomal RNA is filed under the name uncultured organism. RNAcentral describes it as "bacterial SSU rRNA". It matches the Rfam family "Bacterial small subunit ribosomal RNA", at positions 25 to 903 of the family's 1533-position model. The record is from RNAcentral.